RNAcentral lists this ribosomal RNA (330 nucleotides) under Shigella flexneri. RNAcentral describes it as "bacterial SSU rRNA". It matches the Rfam family "Bacterial small subunit ribosomal RNA", at positions 1 to 327 of the family's 1533-position model. The record is from RNAcentral. Lineage: Bacteria; Pseudomonadati; Pseudomonadota; Gammaproteobacteria; Enterobacterales; Enterobacteriaceae.
AAAUUGAAGAGUUUGAUCAUGGCUCAGAUUGAACGCUGGCGGCAGGCCUAACACAUGCAAGUCGAACGGUAACAGGAAGCAGCUUGCUGUUUCGCUGACGAGUGGCGGACGGGUGAGUAAUGUCUGGGAAACUGCCUGAUGGAGGGGGAUAACUACUGGAAACGGUAGCUAAUACCGCAUAACGUCGCAAGACCAAAGAGGGGGACCUUCGGGCCUCUUGCCAUCGGAUGUGCCCAGAUGGGAUUAGCUAGUAGGUGGGGUAACGGCUCACCUAGGCGACGAUCCCUAGCUGGUCUGAGAGGAUGACCAGCCACACUGGAACUGAGACAC